UACGGGGGGGGCAAGCGUUGUUCGGAAUUACUGGGCGUAAAGGGCUCGUAGGCGGCCAACUAAGUCAGACGUGAAAUCCCUCGGCUUAACCGGGGAACUGCGUCUGAUACUGGAUGGCUUGAGUUUGGGAGAGGGAUGCGGAAUUCCAGGUGUAGCGGUGAGAUGCGUAGAUAUCUGGAGGAACACCGGUGGCGAAGGCGGCAUCCUGGACCAACACUGACGCUGAGGAGCGAAAGCCAGGGGAGCAAACGGG
This 253-nucleotide ribosomal RNA is filed under the name uncultured bacterium. RNAcentral's name for it is "partial 16S ribosomal RNA". It matches the Rfam family "Bacterial small subunit ribosomal RNA", at positions 524 to 776 of the family's 1533-position model. The record is from RNAcentral.